GUCGUCCUCUUUGUACCUUUUUUUUUUCUUCUUUUUCUUCUUUUUCUUUUUCUUACCUUGGCUAUCACACUAUCUUUUUCAUAUUUCCUCUUCAUCUCUCGUUCCUCUUUUCUUUAUCACGAUUCCAUUCCCCUUUUCUUUCUUUUUUUUUUUUCAUUUCUCCUUAUUUCUAUUUCUCCUUAUUUCUAUCUUUUCUUCUUCUCUCUAUUCCUCUUCUUCUAACCCUAGCCAUUGUCAUCAUAAGUCGUCGCCAUCUAUGGCCUUUUCUGACCAAUUCGACCAUCAAAAUACUUCUCUCAUCCUCUUCUUCUCAAAAUUUGCCCUGUAUUUCCAAGAAAAUCUCUUUAAAGCCGAAAAAAAACAAUGCUUAAUCAUGGAGUUUUCUAAAUUAUAUUCUUCGCCUGUUGAUGAAAGGCAAAGGAGGUUUCUAGUGAGGUUGAAAGCGAGUUGAAGAGCCAAAGGAAGCAGUAGCAGUGUUGUUGCCAAUGCAACAACAAAGAAUCGAUUUUCUUGGAGCCUAGUAGAAGUUCUUCAAGUUACAGGUAAGUAGGUCGCGAAUGAUAGUGGCAAGGUAAAUGACUUGGUGAGGCUCACACUUGAAUAGAUAUUGGCGAACCUGGGAAAAUAGGCGAUGAGGUUUUAUUAUAUGGGUUUAGAAUUAUUACGAUUUAAUUUUGUUAAUGGAACAAAUUUUUAAUGGUUUAAGUUUAUUUUCAUUCUUCGAACCUUAAGUAAAACCGUUGUUAUUAAUCUCUUCUCAGCCUGAAUAAAAUUUGAUGUUUCUUUAA
This is a long non-coding RNA of Gossypium arboreum, 788 nucleotides long. RefSeq lists it as uncharacterized. The record is from RefSeq and is a predicted model, not a curated record. NCBI's taxonomy places the organism in Eukaryota, Viridiplantae, Streptophyta, Magnoliopsida, Malvales, Malvaceae. The transcript has 2 exons.